GACAACAAAUAUAUAUUUAAAAAUGAGUGCUGGAGAGAAAAAAAUGAAAAAGCCACCACAAACAUAUAUCAAACAGCAUCCAUCUUCUUGUCCACUGCCAUUGUUUUCGUUUCUUGCUUAUUGAUUUCUGACGUUUUUCUUUUUGUUCCUUCACGUUUUUAUUUUAAUUUGU
This 172-nucleotide non-coding RNA is filed under the name Foraminifera environmental sample. The record is from RNAcentral. Lineage: Eukaryota; Foraminifera.